GGGUUCAUAUCCAACAUUAGGGUCCAGCAUAUUAGAAACCCCGGCUUUCGGGGUUUUUUAAUAUCUGAAUUUUUGAUUUAAUGUAUGUUUUAUCAUGUGUACUUAAAUCAAAAAGUUAGAUGAUGUUUGGAAUUGAAAUUGGGCUGAAAGCCCUUUUUUU
Regulatory RNA element from Vibrio aerogenes CECT 7868, 160 nucleotides. It matches the Rfam family "Gammaprotebacteria rimP leader". Lineage: Bacteria; Pseudomonadati; Pseudomonadota; Gammaproteobacteria; Vibrionales; Vibrionaceae. The record is from Rfam.